RNAcentral lists this transfer RNA (75 nucleotides) under Alienimonas californiensis. RNAcentral describes it as "Planctomycetes bacterium CA12 tRNA-Pro". It matches the Rfam family "tRNA". Rfam says of the family: Transfer RNA (tRNA) molecules are approximately 80 nucleotides in length. Their secondary structure includes four short double-helical elements and three loops (D, anti-codon, and T loops). Further hydrogen bonds mediate the characteristic L-shaped molecular structure. tRNAs have two regions of fundamental functional importance: the anti-codon, which is responsible for specific mRNA codon recognition, and the 3' end, to which the tRNAs corresponding amino acid is attached (by aminoacyl-tRNA synthetases). tRNAs cope with the degeneracy of the genetic code in two manners: having more than one tRNA (with a specific anti-codon) for a particular amino acid; and 'wobble' base-pairing, i.e. permitting non-standard base-pairing at the 3rd anti-codon position. Lineage: Bacteria; Pseudomonadati; Planctomycetota; Planctomycetia; Planctomycetales; Planctomycetaceae. The record is from RNAcentral.
CGGGACGUAGCUCAGCCUGGUAGAGUGCCUGCUUUGGGAGCAGGAGGCCGCAAGUUCGAAUCUUGUCGUCCCGAC